Molecule: unclassified non-coding RNA, 80 nt
Filed under: Pseudomonas thivervalensis
Lineage: Bacteria; Pseudomonadati; Pseudomonadota; Gammaproteobacteria; Pseudomonadales; Pseudomonadaceae
Source: RNAcentral
GAGGGAGCUUGCUCCCGCUGGGUCGCGAAGCGGCCCUGUUUUUGGUGCUGCUACGCAGCCCAGCGGGAGCAAGCUCCCUC